RNAcentral lists this microRNA (22 nucleotides) under Drosophila virilis. RNAcentral's name for it is "dvi-miR-9550-5p". Lineage: Eukaryota; Metazoa; Arthropoda; Insecta; Diptera; Drosophilidae. The record is from miRBase by way of RNAcentral.
UUCAUGUUCAGACACUUGGCGC